This 64-nucleotide transfer RNA is filed under the name Austropotamobius pallipes (white-clawed crayfish). RNAcentral's name for it is "tRNA-Ile". Lineage: Eukaryota; Metazoa; Arthropoda; Malacostraca; Decapoda; Astacidae. The record is from RNAcentral.
AAUGUGGUGCCUGACAAAAGGAUAGUUUUGAUAGAACUAAUUAUGUAUAACAAUACCCAUGUUG